CUGCAGGCAGGACAGUCCUCUUCCCGGGCUCACCGCAACAUUCAGUAGCUGCUUUGAAGGAACAGAAUAAGGUUGCCACAUGCCAGUCUGUCCUCCGAUCACUUCAGGGUUCCACUCACCGUGGGUUCAAGGCUUCUUUGAUUCUUUGUUUCCUUUAGUUUUCAUUCUCUCCUCUUCAGAACAAGAGUAGAUGGUUCGGUGUAUGCAAAUAUCACAGUUCCAGAAACCCACACCUGUGACUGAUGGGAGUGGUGGACAAAUACCCACAACUUCCUCUCUCUACUCUUGGCUGAGGACAAUUCUGAAGUGAGCCCUACACUGUCUCCCAGAUGCAGUCUGACCUGAGCCAUGAAGAAGUGCAGAGUCCCCAAGAGGCCAGAGAGCUCACGUCUGGUUAGAGUCGGGGUGUUUGAUGGGAAGAUGAAAGGAGGAGCUGGCAUCUGAGAUUUAGCAGAGAUUCCGUUCGGAAGGAUUCUGGCGAAACAGCGUGAGUUGACAACUCUGCUUCUGAAUAGUACAUUAUUUAUUCAGUGCCAGCCACGAGCCCGGCAGGUGAUGAGCUAAACUAAACUUGCUGGCACACACACGCAGAACUCAGGAACAGCAGAGUGAUGGCAGCCUCAUCUCAAAGUGGCUCCUUCAAGGAGGAGGACUAAGAGUGUUAAGCCAGGUCAUAAGAAGCCUUGCAGCUUCUUGAUUCUCAGAAUGCUUGCUCUGGAAGAAGCCAGCUGCCGUGUAAGAAAUCAGAUGUCUCUGAGACCACCAUGCUGUGAGAGGCCACGACUGCCACAUGCAGAGGCUACAUGGAGAGAGAGAGAGAGAGGAGAGGGACAGAGAGAGAGAUGCUCAGCCAUCCCCGAGCCAAGGCAUAAACACAUGAGUGAGGAAGCCAGGUUGGAUGUUCCCACCCCCUCCGGUCCUCAGAUGACACCAGCCUCAGCUGCCAUCUGACUGCAACCAGAAGAGGCACCCAGAAAGACCUGCCCAGCU
RNAcentral lists this long non-coding RNA (990 nucleotides) under Homo sapiens (human). RNAcentral describes it as "HSALNT0317410". Lineage: Eukaryota; Metazoa; Chordata; Mammalia; Primates; Hominidae. The record is from RNAcentral.